UACGGAGGAUGCGAGCGUUAUCCGAAUUUAUUGGGUUUAAAGGGUGCGUAGGCGGGAUGCCAAGUCAGCGGUAAAAAUGCGGUGCUCAACGCCGUCGAGCCGUUGAAGCUGGCGUUCUUGAGUGGGCGAGAAGUAUGCGGAAUGCGUGGUGUAGCGGUGAAAUGCAUAGAUAUCACGCAGAACUCCGAUUGCGAAGGCAGCAUACCGGCGCCCUACUGACGCUGAGGCACGAAAGCGUGGGUAUCGAACAGG
RNAcentral lists this ribosomal RNA (252 nucleotides) under uncultured bacterium. RNAcentral describes it as "partial 16S ribosomal RNA". It matches the Rfam family "Bacterial small subunit ribosomal RNA", at positions 524 to 776 of the family's 1533-position model. The record is from RNAcentral.